RNAcentral lists this ribosomal RNA (439 nucleotides) under uncultured Bacillota bacterium. Its description in RNAcentral is "bacterial SSU rRNA". It matches the Rfam family "Bacterial small subunit ribosomal RNA", at positions 917 to 1359 of the family's 1533-position model. Lineage: Bacteria; Bacillati; Bacillota. The record is from RNAcentral.
GGGCCCGCACAAGCAGUGGAGUAUGUGGUUUAAUUCGAAGCAACGCGAAGAACCUUACCAAGGCUUGACAUCCUACUAACGAAGUAGAGAUAUAUUAGGUGCCCUUCGGGGAAAGUAGAGACAGGUGGUGCAUGGUUGUCGUCAGCUCGUGUCGUGAGAUGUUGGGUUAAGUCCCGCAACGAGCGCAACCCCUAUUGUUAGUUGCUACGAAAGAGCACUCUAGCGAGACUGCCGUUGACAAAACGGAGGAAGGUGGGGAUGACGUCAAAUCAUCAUGCCCUUUAUGUCUUGGGCUACACACGUACUACAAUGGCGGUUAACAGAGGGAAGCGAAGGAGCGAUCCGGAGCAAACCCCUAAAAACCGUCUCAGUUCAGAUUGCAGGCUGCAACCCGCCUGCAUGAAGUCGGAAUUGCUAGUAAUCGCGGAUCAGCAUGCCG